Molecule: ribosomal RNA, 275 nt
Filed under: uncultured bacterium
Lineage: Bacteria
Description: partial 16S ribosomal RNA
Rfam family: Bacterial small subunit ribosomal RNA
Source: RNAcentral
AACGAACGCUGGCGGCAGGCUUAACACAUGCAAGUCGAACGGAUGGGUGUAGCAAUACAUUUCAUCAGUGGCAGACGGGUGAGUAACACGUGGGAACCUUCCUCGUUGUACGGGACAACUCAGGGAAACUUGAGCUAAUACCGUAUAAGUCCGAGAGGAGAAAGAUUUAUCGCAAUGAGACGGGCCCGCGUCGGAUUAGCUAGUUGGGUGGGGUAACGGCCUACCAAGGCGACGAUCCGUAGCUGAUCUGAGAGGAUGAUCAGCCACACUGGGAC